RNA transcript from Homo sapiens (human), 7069 nucleotides. It is a transcript of the gene named trans-golgi network vesicle protein 23 homolog A, with no coding region annotated. The transcript has 9 exons. NCBI's taxonomy places the organism in Eukaryota, Metazoa, Chordata, Mammalia, Primates, Hominidae. The record is from RefSeq and is marked reviewed.
AUUCCUCCCACUAUCUCUGUCCGCAGUUCCCCAGGCCGUUGCCUCCCUGCCGCCGCUUUCUCUCCUGGGCGCGUCCCCGGCGAGCCGAGCCCCCUCCCCAGCCUGCGACUGCGCCUUAGGCCCCGAGCGCCCCGCCCCACCCGAGAAGCUGCGCUGAGGCUGCCCCACAGGGCGCAGGCCCCGACCCUCAGCGUCCACCGUCUGCUGCCUACAUCCGCCCGCCCGGCGUCCGACCCCUUCAGCGGCGACGGGCGGAGCUGGAGCCCCGGGCCUGGGCGCCAGGUGGGCUCCUGGGAGGGUGAUGAAGCAGGCCCUGGUGGACGAUACCGAGGAUGUGUCCCUGGACUUUGGAAACGAGGAGGAGCUGGCCUUUAGGAAAGCCAAGAUCAGACACCCCUUGGCCACCUUUUUCCACCUGUUUUUCCGAGUGAGUGCCAUCGUCACCUACGUGAGCUGCGACUGGUUCAGCAAGAGCUUUGUGGGCUGUUUUGUCAUGGUGCUGCUCCUCCUGUCCCUGGACUUCUGGUCUGUGAAGAAUGUAACCGGAAGACUCCUGGUGGGCCUUCGAUGGUGGAACCAGAUAGAUGAAGAUGGGAAGAGCCACUGGAUCUUUGAAGCCAGGAAGGUCUCUCCGAAUAGCAUUGCUGCCACAGAAGCUGAAGCACGAAUCUUCUGGCUGGGCCUCAUAAUCUGCCCCAUGAUAUGGAUUGUGUUUUUUUUUAGCACCUUAUUUUCCUUGAAGCUAAAGUGGCUGGCUCUGGUGGUUGCUGGGAUCUCUCUCCAAGCUGCAAACCUGUAUGGCUACAUCCUUUGUAAGAUGGGAGGCAACAGUGACAUUGGCAAGGUCACAGCCAGUUUCCUGUCCCAGACAGUGUUCCAGACGGCCUGCCCAGGUGACUUUCAGAAGCCUGGCCUCGAGGGGCUGGAGAUUCACCAGCAUUAGGCUUUCUUAUCUUCACAGGCAGAAAUGGCUUAAACGGGAGUUUCUACAAUCGACUAAGCUUCCGACACAGCAGAAUCCCACGAUCCCACAACCCAUUUGUUUUUUACGUGAAACAGGCCUCGGGGGAGAGAUUUGAGGGGGUUUUAUUCUUAAAACGGCACAUUUGUAGAGAAUGCCCUUUAUAUAUGUUCUAAAGAAAAGUGUACAAAUACUCAAUGAUUAAAGUGUCUCUGAGAAAGUGGCUUCGGACCACACCAGCAUCUGGUCCUUUUGCUGUGACCCACCCCAUCCCGGAGCUGGUCGGGUCUGGCUGGAUGUGCUGCCCAGUGAGUGCCUCGCUCGGUAACUGCUUGGUCCUGAACAUUCUCUCGUUUCAGGAACUGAUGAGGUUCUCUUCUUUUGACUGAUGGAGAUUACAAAACUCUUGGAUUCCUGGAAAACAAGACGACAGGCAUAGAGUGCUAAUGGCUUGUCUACCCCUUGACAGCCCUGUCCUGUGCUGGGGAGGGCUGUGUUUUGACAGGGGUGGAAUCCUCUGGCUAGUUCCAUAAAAAGACCUGUGUCUGUGAUGCCCUGAGUCUUUGAAAGUGACCGGAAUACCUCACACUACCCAUCUUGCUCAUAACCAGUGGCUGCGGCCUUCCUCGGACCAUCUAUAGAUGGAGGAUUCUGGGAAUGCUGUUUCCUUACCCUUGACAUCAUUCUUCUAGGCAAGUAAAACCCAGCCACAAACUCAGAGACCACAGCUUUAACAAACACUGACACCUCUGCCCUAACUCUGGGGCCUCUGAUGGCUGCCACUGGCUGAAUGUGGCCUGCACGUGGGUUUGGUCUGGCUCAACAAAGUUUUUAUUUUUAUUUUUUAUUUUUUUGAGACACGGUCUCACGCUGUUGCCCAGGCUGGAGUGCAGUGGCGCGAUCUCGCCUUACUGCAGCCUCCGCCUCCCAGGUUCAAGCGAUUCUCCUGCCUCAGCCUCCUGAGUAGCUGGGACUACAGGCAUGCGCCACCACACCCGGCUAAUUUUCAUAUUUUUAGUAGAGACAGUGUUUCUCCAUGUUAGCCAGGCUGGUCUUGAACUCCUGACCAGCCUCAAGUGAUCUGCCUGCCUCCUUCACCCAAAGUGCUGGGAUUCCAGGUGUGAGCCACUGCACCUGGCCUUUUUUUUUUUUAUCAGUUACUUUUAAAAAUGAAUUACUUUAUCCCUUUAUUGGGAUGUAUUUCCUAAGCCAUAAAUUUCACCCUCACCAUGUUUUUUAAACUAUGAAUUAAUUCACAAUACUCACACAUUGAGAGAUUUCUCAUGGACUCCUGGCUUCCUCGGCUAUGGGGGCCACUCUGUGGUCAUCACAGACCCCACCACCCACCUGUCCUUCCACACCCCUGGCUCCUUUAUGUUGCUUCCUGCCCCACAGGCAUCUGCAUUUAGUACUCAUGGAAAUACUUACUCUGAAUUAUACUUCUGUAGGCUAACGUGGCUGGGGAAUCUGGGGCGUCAAUGAAAAAAGACUGGCCUUUGUCACAAUUCUUACCUUAAAAAAGAAACAAACGGAAGACAAUUCAGUCCAAGAGGAAAACAGAAUGGCCACAAGAUCUUGGGGCUCUUUCCGUGCUGGUGACAAUGGGAAGAUCUUGAGCCCGCUUCACUCGUAAUGAAGAACAAAGUAGAAAAGACCAGUGGGGUCUCAGGGACCUUCCUUCCAGCAGGGUCCCCAGCCAGCAUUUCAGCGUGGCUAAAUAAUCAGGUGGUGUACAGAAAAUGCAGGUUCCAGGGCCCUACAGAGAACUGAUUCAGCAGCUUCCACAUGGGCCCAGGAGUCUGCAUUUUAAGAGAUUAGCUUUUGAGUGAAAGGAUCAUGAAUGCACAUGGUUAAAAAAAGUACAGAAUGCAAAAGGAUAUGGCAUAAAAGGCCAAGUCCGAAAAGGGCUACUAGUGUUCUAGGUGUCUUUCCAGAAAGAUUAUGCGCAUAUAAAUGUGCACACUUGCAUGUGUGCGCACACACAUACACACACUCUCAUAUACCUAAAAUACGAAUGGGAGCACAUGACACACACAUUCUGCCUGCUGCUUUGUCUGUGUAUAAUUUUAUCUUCCAGGUCAUCUGUGCUGGUGUCUAUCAGUCUGCUAGUCUUUCCCCGCCAUGUGGCCAUUGUUCCAGUCCCCUCCUAUGCACACCCAGGUUUCUCUAGGACCAUGUUAUCCCAGAGCCAGGUGGACAGGACACAAGGGGCUAGGGGUCAAUGGGGGUGUUCUCGCCUCCAGUCUGCCCUGCCAGCCCCCAGUCGUGGGUGGACCUGCCAUCAGCUUGCUCUGCCCACUCCCCAGGCCUGAGCUGCUGGCGAAACAGGCAAGUGACUGCACUGCCCAUGGCCGGUCACCAGCCUCAGGUGAACCCCAGGAGGGGUUCCUACCUAGCACUCAUCAUUUCCUCAACUUCACUACUGUGUCGCCCUGUGGGACAGGGAAGUCCAAGUCGGGGAAGAAGCCUGUGGGGAGGGGUUGGUGGGAGAUGGGGAGCCCAUAUGGCCCAGUGAGUCAGGAAAAUAGGGUCCAGAGGCAGGGAACAUAAGGCCAAUUCGCACUUGAGCCAUAACAGGAAAUGUCCUCUCCAUAGGACGUAUGCCGUAAAUGACUUUGUAACUUUACUUCAUCCUUUUCGUUUAUAUAGGGCGUACCUCAAGUAGAGGGUAUUUAAACACAAAAACUCUGUAAUGGGGCCUUUGAGCCCCUAUUCUCAGGCCCGUUCUCCUCCCACACCGUGGAGUUGACUUUCAUUUUCAAUAAAUCCCUUCCUUCCUUCCUUUCUUUGUGCGUUUUGUCCAAUUUUUUGUUCCAGACACCAAGAACCUGGACAUCCUCCGCCGUUAACGCUGGGCCCAUGAGACCAUGUGGAACUCGCUAGGGAGGCCCCUGAGUGCACGUUCGCUGGGCCAGACCUGGGAGGUUGGGGAUCCCAGAAUAGUCAUGCUGGGGCUACUUUCUGUCCCUGACUUUCACCCAGGUCUCCCUUCCCCAGAGGGCUCCCCAGCCCCCAACACACAUAUAUGCUCUAGUGUUUUCCCUUCCUAACUGCAUUUCCCCCUGGGCUCCCACCUCUCCAAGAACGGGCAGCAUUAUCAGAACAGCUGGUGUGAGCACAGCCCUGUUCCAAGAGAUCCCAGGCAUCCUCUCACCCCACCCUGGCAGAUCCCUCUCACUAGGCACCACUGUCACCUGCAUUUUACACACGGGGCCAUCGAGGCUGAGAGCGGAAAUGACUAGCCCAAGUCCCACAGCUAGUGGUGGCGGAGCAGGGCUCUGAGGCCAGCCCUUCCUGUGAUCCUCAGCACACCGGGACCAGGACCCAUAGCACCAGAGCGCUGGCAUCUGUAACUCUUUGCCACCAUGUCCCCAGAGGAGACUGAAGUGCUGUCCUCAUGCCUUCCUGUCUGUUCCUAGGAAGGUGGGUUUUCCCCCACUCUGUCCCCAGUGACCUUGCCAGAUGCGUGUCUGUCACUUGGCCCUCAUGCUCCACCCUCUUGGGUGGGUGACAGUGUUAACCACCCCUUCCUUUCUGGCACUCCCUGGCCUUGCUAUCUGUGGCUUCCCCUCAAGGUGAGCUUCUGCAAUGUGCCAUUUGACACACAGGACCAUGCCCACUAGAAGGCACUUAAUGUUCUCAGCUCAGAAUGAGCCUCGCAGCUGUCACUGGUGGCUCCUCUGCUUUGAAAUUAGCUCUUGUGAACCACCUGGAACUUUGUUUCUUUGUGAAAAGUGGCCCUGAAAGGAAAGACCAGGGCCAAUGCCAGGGCUUGGUGUGAGGGAGGUGGGAAGAUGGAGGUUGCUGGCUCUUUGGAAGAAAAGCCGUAUCAGGAUCUAAUAGCCCCAAGGUCACUUCCUGAUCUGUCAGACAAUGGCAAGGGCAGGCCUGUGGCUGGGCCCGUGGACAUAUUUGGGUGGGUCAGCAAGCAUGCCAUUUUUAAAUUUUUUUUUGAGACAGGUUCUUGCUCUGUCGCCCAGGCUGGAGUGCAGUGGUGUGAUCAUGGCUCACUGCAACCUCAACCUCCCUGGGCUCAAGUGAUCCUGCUAACUCAGCCUCCUGAGUAGCUGGGACCACAGGCACAUGCCACCACACUGGGUGAAUUUUUUCCUUUUUUUUUUUUUUUUUUUUUUAAGAGAUGAGGUAUCUUCCUGUGUUACCCAGGCUAGAGCAUGGUUGUGUGUGUGUGUGUGUGUGUAUUUAAUGGAGUUAGUUGCUAUCAUUUAGUAUCAGGAGACUUUGGGUAAGGAUAUAGAUUUCUAGCUCUUCAUUAAACCUUGGAAAAUGUGGCAAUUGUGAUGGCCAUAAGGACACACCUCUUGGAUCUCUGGCAGCAGCUGCCAUGCUCCAAAAUCCACCACCACGUUUGUGUUGAGGCAAUGCCACUCCCAGGCUGCUCCUAGCUAGUGACUGAGACGAGCAUGGCACUCGGGCAGGCACGCUUCUGGGAGAUGCAGCCCCUCUGAUGGGUAAGUGGGCUCAGGAAUGCCCUGGUGGCUGUGCCCAGCUUUCCUCGACAGCAGCCAAGACACUCCAGCAGACAGAUGCUCCAACAGACUGACAUACUCCAGCAGACUGAGAUGCUCCAACAGACUGACAUACUCCAGCAGACAGAUGCUCCAACAGACUGACAUACUCCAGCAGACUGAGAUGCUCCAACAGACUGACAUACUCCAGCAGACUGAGAUGCUCCAACAGACUGACAUACUCCAGCAGACUGAGAUGCUCCAACAGACUGACAUACUCCAGCAGACUGAGAUGCUCCAAUAGACCUACUCCAGCAGACUGAGAUGCUCCAAUAGACUGACAUACUCCAGCAGACUGAGAUGCUCCAAUAGACUGACAUACUCCAGCAGACUGAGAUGCUCCAAUAGACUGACAUACUCCAGCAGACUGAGAUGCUCCAAUAGACAAAUACUCCAGCAGAAUGAGAUGCUCCAAUAGACAAAUACUCCAGCAGACUGAGAUGCUCCAAUAGACUGACAUACUCCAGCAGACUGAGAUGCUCCAACACACUGGCAUACUCCAGCAGACUGAGAUUCUCCAAUAGACAAAUACUCCAGCAGACUGAGAUGCUCCAACAGACUGGCAUACUCCAGCAGACUGAGAUGCUCCAAUAGACUGCCACACUCCAGCAGACUGAGAUGCUCCAAUAGACAAAUACUCCAGCAGACUGAGAUGCCAAAAAGCAAAGUACACUGAGGUGCUCCAGCAGGCUAAGAUGCUCCCAUGGGCUGAGAUGCUCCAGUGGGCUGAGACGCUCCUUCGGGCUGGGAUGCUCCCGUGGGCUGAGAUACUCCUGUGGGCUGAGAUGCUCCUUUGAGUUGGGAUGCUCCCGUGGGCUGAGAUACUCCUGUGGGCUGAGAUACUCCCUUGGGCUGGGAUGCUCCAGUGGGCUGAGAUGCUCCUUUGGGCUGGGAUGCUCCCAUGGGCUGAGGUACUCCUGUGGGCUGAGAUGCUCCUUUGAGUUGGGAUGCUCCCGUGGCCUGAGAUACUCCUGUGGGCUGAGAUACUCCCUUGGGCUGGGAUGCUCCCAUGGGCUGAGAUGCUCUUGAGGGCUGGGAUGCUCCCUUGGGCUGAGAUGCUUCCAGGGGCUGAGAUACUCCUAUGGGCCGUGAUGCUCUUUCGGGCUGAUAUGUUCCUUCCCCCACUCCUUCAUCGUGGGCUAACGCUCUCCCUUGUCAUUUUCUCCCACAGAUGUUUCCCCUGACAAACGUCCUGCCCACCAAUCCCAUCUCGGCAGAGCUGAACUGUGGCAGAGGUGCAGGCUGGCAGGAAUGGAUGUGCCCUGGGCUGCUGCAAGCUCCUGUCCCCAAUCACAUCCAUUCAUGCAGCCCAACUGCCUCCAGGGGCCUCAGAGGGCAGCUCUCAUCACCACUUCCGGCCACUGCAAAAGCUGCCUGGGAAAGCAGAAAUAGUUUGCAGAGCAGCCUUCCGAUCGUUUCCUCAUCCAUGAGAGCAAGAUCUUGCUCGCCUGGCAGCCCCACGCGCCCUCACCUUGCACUUAGGACAGAUGAAGCCACUCAUGUUCUCCACCACCCCGAUGAUGGGCAGCUUCACCUUGCGGCAGAAGUUGAUUUCUUUCCGGACAUCCUGGAGUGACACCUC